RNAcentral lists this ribosomal RNA (504 nucleotides) under uncultured bacterium. RNAcentral's name for it is "partial 16S ribosomal RNA". It matches the Rfam family "Bacterial small subunit ribosomal RNA", at positions 29 to 523 of the family's 1533-position model. The record is from RNAcentral.
AUUGAACGCUGGCGGCAGGCCUAACACAUGCAAGUCGAGCGGUAACACAGGGAGCUUGCUCCUGGGUGACGAGCGGCGGACGGGUGAGUAAUGUCUGGGAAACUGCCUGAUGGAGGGGGAUAACUACUGGAAACGGUAGCUAAUACCGCAUAACGUCGCAAGACCAAAGAGGGGGAGCUUCGGGCCUCUUGCCAUCAGAUGUGCCCAGAUGGGAUUAGCUAGUAGGUGGGGUAACGGCUCACCUAGGCGACGAUCCCUAGCUGGUCUGAGAGGAUGACCAGCCACACUGGAACUGAGACACGGUCCAGACUCCUACGGGAGGCAGCAGUGGGGAAUAUUGCACAAUGGGCGCAAGCCUGAUGCAGCCAUGCCGCGUGUAUGAAGAAGGCCUUAGGGUUGUAAAGUACUUUCAGCGGGGGGGAAGGCGUUGAGGUUAAUAACCUCAGCGAUUGACGUUACCCGCAGAAGAAGCACCGGCUAACUCCGUGCCAGCAGCCGCAGUAA